UUUCCACCUCAUUUCCUAAAAAAUAAAACCUAAAUCUAAUUAAAACUAAACCUCAAAAUUUUCCAACGUUGUUUGGAUUGAGGAGGUUCCCCCGGAAUUGGACCUUUUGGUGACUUCGGAUGUAUUAGCCUUAUGGCGUUUUGAUUUAAUAUAUUAUCCAGUUUCAAAAAAAUUAAAACUAAACCUAAUCCUAAGCUGAAAACCUCACCAUCUUCAACCCCACCAUCUUCCAUUCCUUGACCCGUUCACAGUUCUUCCACCGCUGUUCCUCUCUUCUACCGGAUUCUCUAGCACUGGAAACCACCACGACCACAACGGCGCAACCACCUCCAUCGAAAUCCAAAUCCUACCCCUUCGCCCAAACCACCAUCGGAACCCCAAUCCCAAUCAAAACCCUAUCUUGUGUCAGUAGCAGAGAGAGAGCAGAGAGCAAGUGUUUAUGGUGGCUAUGCCUUUGUGAAAUCACGGGAUCUGAAGGUGAUGCUCCAAAAUCUAAAGUAAUGCAGAGUUGGCAACUUGUAUUCAACUGGGAGCAAGGAUUGAACUUGCAGGUUCGGGAUGUACGUGCUCGAGUGUUGACUGACAUGGCCUAGGUUACUAUGAUAACAUUUGUUGACAUGGACACAUGGUCAUUCAACGUGACCAAUGUCUUUGAGUUCCAUAAUGGACGGUGGUAUAUGGUUCAUCAUCACAGCUCUGUGAUGAAUGGGGAGGUGGAUCAAUAAUAGAUUGUGCAUGGAUAAUAGUGAGAGAUGAUACAUUGUUAUGUCUGAUACUGGUUUUAAAAAGGUGGUUUUAUUUGCAGAUGCAAGAUGCUUGAAAUUUUAGUAUGUUUCUGUGCUAAGUGUCCUGUAUUUUAAUUUGAUGGGUUGUCCUGCUUGAAGGUUGUGGCUUUUUAACAUUCAGAGCUUUUAUGUGAAGAAACCUUGAUUUGAAAUCAAUCUUUGACUCUUUGGUA
This is a long non-coding RNA of Lotus japonicus, 958 nucleotides long. RefSeq lists it as uncharacterized. The transcript is spliced from 2 exons. Lineage: Eukaryota; Viridiplantae; Streptophyta; Magnoliopsida; Fabales; Fabaceae. The record is from RefSeq and is a predicted model, not a curated record.